AUUCCAGACUCCUACGGGAGGCAGCAGUGGGGAAUAUUGCACAAUGGGGGAAACCCUGAUGCAGCGACGCCGCGUGAGUGAAGAAGUACCUCGGUAUGUAAAGCUCUAUCAGCAGGGAAGAAAAUGACGGUACCUGACUAAGAAGCCCCGGCUAACUACGUGCCAGCAGCCGCGGUAAUACGUGGGGGGCAAGCGUUAUCCGGAUUUACUGGGUGUAAAGGGAGCGUAGACGGCAUGGCAAGCCAGAUGUGAAAUACCGGGGCUCAACCCCGGGACUGCAUUUGGAACUGUUAAGCUGGAGUGUCGGAGAGGCAGGCGGAAUUCCUGGUGUAGCGGUGAAAUGCGUAGAUAUCAGGAGGAACACCGGUGGCGAAGGCGGCCUGCUGGACUGCGACUGACGUUGAGGCCCGAAAGCGUGGGGAGCAAACAGGAUUAGAUACCCUGGUAAAC
Molecule: ribosomal RNA, 450 nt
Filed under: uncultured bacterium
Lineage: Bacteria
Description: partial 16S ribosomal RNA
Rfam family: Bacterial small subunit ribosomal RNA
Source: RNAcentral